AAAACUCUAUCUCAAAAAGAUUAAAAAAAAAAAAAGUACUCAGGUGUUGGGAGCCGCAGCCCCGAGCCCGGUCGCCUCACUUGGCGGACGUGAGGCCUGUAGUAAAGAGUAAAGCCUGAGGUAGAUUACCCCUCCCAUCGAGCACGUUAGUUUCCUGCUUACCGCGUAAGCAACCCGCUCAACAAUAUAGUCUGCCUGGCAACUGAUGAUGUUAGCCAAUCAGCUUGCCUUGCUUACUUUAACAUGAUUGGACACUGUAUCCGUAUAUAUACUGGUGCCACCCCUGGGGGGGGAAGAAGAAGCCCGGAAGUAGAAGCCCAGAAGGAGCCGCGGGGAGCGGACCAAAGGAGGCUUCGGCUGGGAGCGAUCCCAGGGCAGGCUGUACGGAGAAGGAAAAUAAAAGAAAAGGUUGUCCACUGCCAGAUUUUGUCGUGUGUCCUUCCUGCCGGCCGGGAGCGGACAUCGACAUUUGGAGGCCCGCACGGGGACUGAUCACCCCCGAGACGUGACAGCGGACAACGCUCCAGUACAGAGCUGCGAGACAGGAAUCGGGACGAGAACCACUGUGGGUACCAGAGAGACUGACACGGGCGACAAAGCCCUCGACUGAAGAUCAGACCUGCCCUACCGGAGAUCCAUCACAGACCAACCAACAAGAUGAAUAGAAAUAGCGGUAGCCCGAAAUGGACAAGAAGAUCCUCAGGCAUAUGCAUGGCUCGCUCGCCUAGCCUACGACCGAGUCUAGGGGUGGUGAGCUUCCCACACUCCUCCUCUAAAAAAUUAUGACAUAGCUGGGUAGGAGAGUCAAUGACGGGUAAGAGCGUACUCCCCCGGUGCGACUCAACCUAAGCCAGGCCCUACCCCAUCCUGCACGUAAGCCGCUGGACUGUUAGAUGCUGCCCAGGUCUAAAUUUCUCUCCGAGGGGAUUUCUUUACGGAGAGGAAAUGAGUGCAAGCUUGUGUGCAUCCAGGUUCCGUCCAGUUUGUGCCUGGCCCUAGAAAAAGGACGAGGGCCUCAGGGCCUUGGCAGACCAUGGGACGGCCGACCAGGGUCUAAGCCAAGGACCUACGGUGGGCCUACGCAUAGGGCAUAAGCCUCUGCACCCAGUCCAGAAAGGGCUACGAUGCGCACAUUCAUAAAAAAUAAAAAAGGGGGAGAUGUUGGGAGCCGCAGCCCCGAGCCCGGUCGCCUCACUUGGCGGACGUGAGGCCUGUAGUAAAGAGUAAAGCCUGAGGUAGAUUACCCCUCCCAUCGAGCACGUUAGUUUCCUGCUUACCGCGUAAGCAACCCGCUCAACAAUAUAGUCUGCCUGGCAACUGAUGAUGUUAGCCAAUCAGCUUGCCUUGCUUACUUUAACAUGAUUGGACACUGUAUCCGUAUAUAUACUGGUGCCACCCCUGGGGGGGGAAGAAGAAGCCCGGAAGUAGAAGCCCAGAAGGAGCCGCGGGGAGCGGACCAAAGGAGGCUUCGGCUGGGAGCGAUCCCAGGGCAGGCUGUACGGAGAAGAAAAAUAAAAGAAAAGGUUGUCCACUGCCA
Cavia porcellus (domestic guinea pig) is the source of this 1537-nucleotide long non-coding RNA. RefSeq lists it as uncharacterized. Lineage: Eukaryota; Metazoa; Chordata; Mammalia; Rodentia; Caviidae. The record is from RefSeq and is a predicted model, not a curated record. The transcript has 2 exons.